GGAUCCACUCCGCCAUCGAUGCAUCCCAGACCCCCGAUGUCGUGUUCGCAAGCAUCCUAGCAGCCUUCUCCAAAGCCACAUGCUGAUCAUCUGAGAGCAGUCAAAUCUACUUCCCCAAAAAGAGACCAGGAUGAAGUAACAGACUGCUAUGAAGGACCACAAAAACGGCAGCCUCUGGAAAAACCAUUAGAAAGUCAGUGGCAGAUCCAGUAAAUAAUAUCGCCAGCCUCAGCAUAAUCUGCUGCUGACUCGAUUCAGUGGACUCUAAAGUGCCCAGCCUCCUGACCUGAGCUCUCCUGCCAUCUGUGAGACUACCAGAGGUCUUAUCUGCCGUCCACAUGGCAACUGGGCAUGAGUACCUGGCCACCUUGCUUCCCUCUUUGCCUGGUCCAACCUAGUAUCAGAAGGCCAGGCGAGACUGCAACACUGCUCAUCACCCCGCGGCGUGAUCCCUGCUCUUAGGUGCUGGGCAGAGGGGAAGGGUGGUCAGGGUGAGGAUGGUGAGGGAGGGCUGGUGAGGGGCUCAGAGGAAUACUCGGAACAACAGCAGUGUUAUUGUAGUGUGGCAGUUUCUUUUAUACAUAGGUGAGAGUUUU
RNAcentral lists this small RNA (596 nucleotides) under Pan troglodytes (chimpanzee). RNAcentral describes it as "processed transcript". Lineage: Eukaryota; Metazoa; Chordata; Mammalia; Primates; Hominidae. The record is from RNAcentral.